GAGGGUACAGCUCAGUGGUAGAGCGCAUGCUUAACAUGCAUGAGGUCCUGGGUUCAAACCCCAGUACCUCCU
RNAcentral lists this transfer RNA (72 nucleotides) under Camelus bactrianus (Bactrian camel). It matches the Rfam family "tRNA". Rfam says of the family: Transfer RNA (tRNA) molecules are approximately 80 nucleotides in length. Their secondary structure includes four short double-helical elements and three loops (D, anti-codon, and T loops). The record is from Rfam by way of RNAcentral. RNAcentral also lists the same sequence under 3 other names. Lineage: Eukaryota; Metazoa; Chordata; Mammalia; Artiodactyla; Camelidae.